CAGCAGCCGCGGGAAUACGUAGGCGGCAAGCGUUGCCCGGAAUUAUUGGGCGUAAAGGGCUCGCAGGCGGUUUCUUAAGUCUGAUGUGAAAGCCCCCGGCUCAACCGGGGAGGGUCAUUGGAAACUGGGAAACUUGAGUGCGGAAGAGGAGAGUGGAAUUCCACGUGUAGCGGUGAAAUGCGUAGAGAUGUGGAGGAACACCAGUGGCGAAGGCGACUCUCUGGUCUGUAACUGACGCUGAGGAGCGAAAGCGUGGGGAGCGAACAGGAUUAGAUACCCGUGUAGUCCCUGUCUCUUAUAU
This 301-nucleotide ribosomal RNA is filed under the name uncultured bacterium. RNAcentral describes it as "partial 16S ribosomal RNA". It matches the Rfam family "Bacterial small subunit ribosomal RNA", at positions 509 to 809 of the family's 1533-position model. The record is from RNAcentral.